This 505-nucleotide ribosomal RNA is filed under the name uncultured bacterium. RNAcentral's name for it is "partial 16S ribosomal RNA". It matches the Rfam family "Bacterial small subunit ribosomal RNA", at positions 29 to 523 of the family's 1533-position model. The record is from RNAcentral.
AGUGAACGCUGGCGGUAGGCCUAACACAUGCAAGUCGAACGGCAGCACAGGAGAGCUUGCUCUCUGGGUGGCGAGUGGCGGACGGGUGAGGAAUACAUCGGAAUCUACUCUGUCGUGGGGGAUAACGUAGGGAAACUUACGCUAAUACCGCAUACGACCUACGGGUGAGAGCAGGGGACCUUCGGGCCUUGCGCGAUUGAAUGAGCCGAUGUCGGAUUAGCUAGUUGGCGGGGUAAAGGCCACCAAGGCGACGAUCCGUAGCUGGUCUGAGAGGAUGAUCAGCCACACUGGAACUGAGACACGGUCCAGACUCCUACGGGAGGCAGCAGUGGGGAAUAUUGGACAAUGGGCGCAAGCCUGAUCCAGCCAUACCGCGUGGGUGAAGAAGGCCUUCGGGUUGUAAAGCCCUUUUGUUGGGAAAGAAAUCCAGCUGGCUAAUACCCGGUUGGGAUGACGGUACCCAAAGAAUAAGCACCGGCUAACUUCGUGCCAGCCGCCGCUGUAA